UUUAAGUGUAGUUAUGAGUUUCUAUGUCUAACAUUUGACUGUCCAUCUUAUUUGAAAUUUAUUUUAUGAUUAGUAUGUUUAUUGUUAUUAGAUGAUAAAACAUGAAUAGUACUUUAUGUGUUUAUGUGUGACUUUUUUUAAAUUUUUACAUAAAUUUUUCAAAUAAGACGAAUAAGACGGAUGGUUAAACUUUGAACACAAAAAAACCCAUAACUGUAUCUAAA
RNAcentral lists this microRNA precursor (224 nucleotides) under Oryza meridionalis. Its description in RNAcentral is "MIR812 microRNA precursor family". It matches the Rfam family "MIR812 microRNA precursor family". Lineage: Eukaryota; Viridiplantae; Streptophyta; Magnoliopsida; Poales; Poaceae. The record is from Rfam by way of RNAcentral.